AGAGUUUGAUCAUGGCUCAGAAUGAACGCUGGCGGCAGGCCUAACACAUGCAAGUCGAACGGUAACAGAAAGAAGCUUGCUUCUUUGCUGACGAGAGGCGGACGGGUGAGUAACGCGUGGGAAUCUACCCUUUAGUUGGGGACAACAUAUGGAAACGUAUGCUAAUACCGAAUAUGCUCUACGGAGUAAAGGUGCCCUCUCCUUGGAAGGUAUCGCUAAAGGAUGAGCCCGCGUUAGAUUAGCUAGUUGGUAAGGUAAAAGCUUACCAAGGCGACGAUCUAUAGCUGGUUUGAGAGGAUGAUCAGCCACACUGGGACUGAGGCACGGCCCAGACUCCUACGGGAGGCAGCAGUGGGGAAUAUUGCACAAUGGAGGAAACUCUGAUGCAGCCAUGCCGCGUGUGUGAAGAAGGCCCGAGGGUUGUAAAGCACUUUCAAUUGUGAGGAAGAUAAUGUAGUUAAUACCUGCAUUGUUUGACGUUAACUUUAGAAGAAGCACCGGCUAACUCUGCGCCAGCAGCCGCGGUAAUACAGAGGGUGCAAGCGUUAUUCGGAAUUACUGGGCGUAAAGCGCGCGUAGGCGGACUGUUAAGUUGGAUGUGAAAGCCCUGGGCUCAACCUAGGAACUGCAUUCAAAACUGGCAAUCUAGAGUUUAAGAGAGGGAAGGGGAAUUCCAGGUGUAGCAGUGAAAUGCGUAGAUAUCUGGAGGAACAUC
Molecule: ribosomal RNA, 715 nt
Filed under: uncultured bacterium
Lineage: Bacteria
Description: bacterial SSU rRNA
Rfam family: Bacterial small subunit ribosomal RNA
Source: RNAcentral